UGCUUUCUGUCACUCUAAUAACUUCAUAGAUAUGAAAUUUUGCUUGGAAUAAAACACAGCCAUGUCAGAAGGCUGACAUUGGGGACUAAGUGCCCAAAACAUAUUUCUCAUUUUCUCUUGCUGCAUUUUUCCUUUUUCUCCCUGUGUUUUCUUUUAGCUGCUAGGCUCCAGUUGACUCUGUAUUCAGGUUAGAUAAACCUCACAUGUCCUCCUUGGAAUGGGUAGUGUCCUGUUCAUGUUUAUUGUUUUCUUACAGUACUAGUCCAGCUUUUUUUUUUUUUUUCCAUGAUGCCUGCUGAAGCAAUAUCUUAAUAACAGGGGAGACAAGAUAAGUAAUACCUUUUCUAAGAGAAAAUAUUCCUGAAUUCUGGCAAAUUCUGAAAUGUUAGUUCAAAAAGUAAACAUCCUUACUUUUUAAUGCGGACUUUUCCACCCUUUUUGGAAAGGGCACAUCCUCUGACAUGAUACACUGUGGUUUCUAGAUAUCAUUAGAUAAUGACUGAUCUGACAGCACCCUCCAGGCACAAGAUUUUACUUUGAUUGGGAUGAGUUGCCAUCAAGCACAGUUCGUUAGGAGAAAAUCAGAGAACACCAGUCUCACUGGUACAGACCCAGCUGGCAUGGGUCAAAUUUAAGCAGGGGAUGUCAUGACUGCAAGAACUGAUCUCUCUAAGCAGUAACAAGAAGUGCCUGGAACUGGAAAGUUGGAACUGUGACUAAACCAUGACGAGUUAGAAGCAUGUGUAAUAUAUGCAUGAAAUCUGCAGCACCCUUCCUUAAAAUUAAUGCAGAUCAAGAGACCCUGAUUGUUUUGGACCACAGAGCAAGAAGCAAGGCCUACAGGCAAGUCCCCUGCCAGCAUUCUUCUCUGGAGAGCAUCAACAGGAAAAGAUCAACCUUGUUUUGUGCAGGUUACUAACAGAAAUUCAAAGCAGGAUUUGAAAGGAGGAUGUUGACACAGAUGAAGCGUCUGACUGUGAUGAUUAGAUAGAGGCAGGCUGGCUUGGCUGCCUGGAAAAGGAGAGACCUCCUCAGGGCUCUGCGUCUGCUAAGGAAUUGAUUUCUGGCUCACAGGUGAGCUCCCCAACUCCUCAAAAAUAGUCUUGCAAGUCCUUGCAGUGUUUUUACAAUAGGAAAAGUGCUAAGAGUACAUCGGAGCUAGGAGGGGAAGUGGGCAGUAGCCCCAGGACUCUCGCUGUAUGUCAUCUGCCCCAAAGCUUGUUGGGCCUUCAAAGGGUCAACGAGGGGUUUAUUGUUAGUCAGCCCUGGGCAGCCAGGCAGGGAUAACUCUGCUCUUGGCAGUCCUGGCACUGUGGAGAAGGAAAGGAGAAAGGCAAAGGGUUGUGGCUUUGCUGCGGUGCCUCCUGCUGCAGUAGCACAAGGUUAGCAAGCUCCAAAUGCUGCUGGGCUGAACUUCUCCAGACAGAGACAGAUGAAAAGUUUUGAGCCAAAAAGAAGUAAGUCUGUUGUAAACGAGUAAAAAUCCCUCAGAUGAGCACCUGGGAAGGAAUAAACUAUAAAUAUGUCUAUCCUGAGGAAGAAUA
RNAcentral lists this long non-coding RNA (1544 nucleotides) under Anas platyrhynchos platyrhynchos (common mallard). RNAcentral describes it as "lncRNA (ENSAPLG00000026547.1)". Lineage: Eukaryota; Metazoa; Chordata; Aves; Anseriformes; Anatidae. The record is from RNAcentral.